Molecule: ribosomal RNA, 493 nt
Filed under: uncultured bacterium
Lineage: Bacteria
Description: partial 16S ribosomal RNA
Rfam family: Bacterial small subunit ribosomal RNA
Source: RNAcentral
AUCGAACGCUGGCGGCAUGCCUUACACAUGCAAGUCGAACGGUAACAGGUUAAGCUGACGAGUGGCGAACGGGUGAGUAAUGUAUCGGAACGUGCCCAGUUGUGGGGGAUAACUGCUCGAAAGAGCAGCUAAUACCGCAUACGACCUGAGGGUGAAAGCGGGGGAUCGCAAGACCGCGCGCAAUUGGAGCGGCCGAUAUCAGAUUAGGUAGUUGGUGGGGUAAAGGCUCACCAAGCCGACGAUCGGUAGCUGGUCUGAGAGGACGACCAGCCACACUGGGACUGAGACACGGCCCAGACUCCUACGGGAGGCAGCAGUGGGGAAUUUUGGACAAUGGGCGCAAGCCUGAUCCAGCCAUGCCGCGUGCGGGAAGAAGGCCUUCGGGUUGUAAACCGCUUUUGUCAGGGAAGAAACGCUCUGGGUUAAUACCCUGGGGUAAUGACGGUACCUGAAGAAUAAGCACCGGCUAACUACGUGCCAGCCGCCGCAGUAA